RNAcentral lists this ribosomal RNA (301 nucleotides) under uncultured bacterium. RNAcentral describes it as "partial 16S ribosomal RNA". It matches the Rfam family "Bacterial small subunit ribosomal RNA", at positions 509 to 807 of the family's 1533-position model. The record is from RNAcentral.
CAGUCGCCACGGGAAUACGUAGGGUGCGAGCGAUAAUCGGAAUUACUGGGCGUAAAGCGUGCGCAGGCGGUUUUGUAAGACAGGCGUGAAAUCCCCGGGCUCAACCUGGGAAUGGCGCUUGUGACUGCAAAGCUAGAGUGCGGCAGAGGGGGAUGGAAUUCCGCGUGUAGCAGUGAAAUGCGUAGAUAUGCGGAGGAACACCGAUGGCGAAGGCAAUCCCCUGGGCCUGCACUGACGCUCAUGCACGAAAGCGUGGGGAGCAAACAGGAUUAGAUACCCCCGUAGUCCCUGUCUCUUAUAC